CUGCUAGAACCUCCAAACAAGCUCUCAA
Molecule: non-coding RNA, 28 nt
Filed under: Mus musculus (house mouse)
Lineage: Eukaryota; Metazoa; Chordata; Mammalia; Rodentia; Muridae
Source: RNAcentral